UUAUGAUGAUGAUGAUGAUGAUGAUGAUGAUGGUGAUGCAAGCGAAUCAUAUUACACGAAGAGCCUGGGGAAGGGGGUCUUUUCCUCAUCAUCAGCUUCAUCACCAUCAUUAUCA
RNAcentral lists this microRNA precursor (115 nucleotides) under Bigelowiella natans CCMP2755. Its description in RNAcentral is "miRNA EPrBNAG00000013099". The record is from RNAcentral. Lineage: Eukaryota; Cercozoa; Chlorarachniophyceae.